UUAUAGCCCAGUCGGUAGAGCGUUAGAUGGCCUGCUAAGCCAAAGAUUGUCGGUUCGAUUCUUCCCA
RNAcentral lists this transfer RNA (67 nucleotides) under Chattonella subsalsa. The record is from RNAcentral. Lineage: Eukaryota; Raphidophyceae; Chattonellales; Chattonellaceae.